AUAUAUAGGGCAUGAAAGUAUUAAUUAAUAAUAUCAUGUAAUCAAUAAGAUUAAGGAUCUAUUAUGCAUUUUAUGUUAAAUUAAAAUAAAGUACCAUCAUAACUUACCCACAAAGGGGCGUGUUUGGCACCUAUAUGAAUACCUGACAGCAGUGGUACACAAUUAAUAUGCAGUAAUAAUAUAAGAGUUUUCGAAUUUCUGAGUCAUCACUAGUCUGAGUAAAACCGCUGAAGUAAAAUUGUUUUAAACUAUAAGGUACUAUAACUCGACCAACUAUCCCAUUUAAAAUUUUUGAGGUUAGUUCCACCCUGGCUAAGGGAUGACAGAUGAGAAAAGUAUUAUACUCUGAAAAUGUUUCCCCCUGGCAAUCUAAUUUGACGUAUCCGAGCGUUUCCUUUUUAAACUCUUGUCAAUAAGUCUUGUCUUCUCUUUUUAAAAAUGUCAAUUAUCCUGAAAAUAGCAUUACUCACUUUUUUACUAUUUUUUAUUUUAUUCCUAUUUUAUAUCCACAAUUUCCAAAUUUAUAAAUUUAAUUAAUUUAAAAGAUAAUUUUAACUUUUGGCAACCCAGCCAUUGCUUAUAUUGUGUUGCUACUUUGCAAACCCCAUAUGAACCAUAACUAAACUUGAAGAACGAGCUGUCAGAUCAGAGAACAUAACCUUACUUGUUGUUUGUAGCGGCUUUCGUAAAGUAAAAAGAAGAAAUAUUAAAUUUUUGCAUAUAAACGUCAUUUGCAGCAGAAAAAUCAAAUAGUAAUGUGUAUGUAAUUGAUUCCAUUAAAUAAUUUCGAUUCUGCAGCGAGAAUCCGAGAAAAGGCAGAAAACUAUACACCUUGAGGAUUUCAAUUAUCUUUGCAACAAAUUUACUAGUGACAAGCAAGUUGAAUAGGUAUACAAAUAAGGGCACAAACUGACUUAUUUAAUAAACUAAUUCGCUUUCAAGUUUUAGCAAAAGAGAACCAAUGAAACGAUAUUCAAAGAAAUGUUCUAGAUCUCGACAGAUAAGAAUGUAAAGUAAUUAUAAAGCAGCUAUUAUGAUAAUGUUAAGCCAAUUUUGGCAAUAACAUACUGAUUACAUCAAUAUUUAUAAUAUGGUAAUUUGCUCUACUAAUAGUAAUACACACCAUGUUACUACUAUCAACGACAGUAGCUCUUGGCUUAUCCUACUAUAGUAACAGUAGCUCAUCUAGCGACGCCAAUAGCUCGCGGGCUUUAUAAGGAUGACGGUGCUGACUUCUUACAGUUGAUCCCAGACAUUGUGAUUCUGAUAACAGGUAGUGCCACAGGGCUUUACUAUCGCCACCGUCAUAUUUAAUGCAAUUAUAUAUAACUGUAAUUGAUUGAUUAAUUUAAACACUACUUGUAUUCAGCGUAUAAUAAAUUAAAAAAUUGCUGUCUAGCGCUUUCGGCCGUAGGCCAUCAUCAGGGUUUCAGACAUUGUCAAAGCAUGUAGCGUGGUUUUUUUUUCUGUCGUUGACAAAAUGCUAUAAAUUAAAUUAGUUUACUAAAAUGGAUUCCGUAGAGUUCGUGCUCUAGCAUCAAGUCUACUUAAUUAGGAUCCUUUUUUAGUCGGUUCCUAAGGGCCGUGUUCCAGAGCUCGCACUGAUUUACACGAUGAAGACAAAUGCCAGCUUUCAGUGCUGCCAUCUAUCAGGACUGAAAUUGGAACAUAUUUUACAUCGGCGCGCGGAUUUGCGAGACGCCCCUAGCGAUUGAUGAUCGCAAUUAUUUCCGUUCAAUGAAUUCAAAUUUUUCGUAAUUGAUCGUGCUGAUAUCGAACAGAUUGAAUUAAACAUUUCACAUGGGGGACUUGGAAGCCGAACCUUUUGUUCUUUUUUAGAUGUUUAUUGUGACCUUUAUAGUUCGUUCAACUCUAUUAAAAAACACCUAACUCAAAACCCGGAAAAUCCCGGAAUACAAUUUGUCGCCCUCGGGAAAAACCUUAAAGAAGUUAAGAAUUCUUAUCCGCAAAAGUUGACAGACCCAAGAUGAAAAGUGAAAUUAAAAAAGCGAUUCGAAAACUGUCUACCGCAAGCGCCCUGACUCUAAAUAUUCGCGAGGAAGUUCUUAAAUAGACGAUUUCAAAAAAACACCCCGCGGAAAAAAUGCCGUUUCAUACACGUCCUGUACCCGACAUUCCACUUCAUAUUUAAUUUGGACCUGUCAACGGACGUUUUAUGGCCCAGAGAUGCGAUGCUCCCCUCUCUUUUUCUUUUUGACUUUUUUUUUCUUAUUUCGGCUCUGUCGCUCUCGGCAAGUCGAAACAUGUCGUAGAGAUCAGAGGGGUAGAGAAAUUUUAUUUUUUGACGACUUAUAAUGACUUUAUGUCAGGUAAACCUUAUAGAUAAAAAGUGCAUGCAUACAAGUCAAUCAAUUUAGGUUUAACAAUCAAUUUAUUUAAAAUAAAAAAACUUAAGUAAACUGUGAUCGUUGAUCUACAAAUGAAAACUCCAUGAAUUUAAGUUCGUCGUUUGAAAUUAAAGAAAAUUGAGGCUGGCCUGAGGUGACAGUGAACAUUUUUCUUGCUCCUGCUUUAAUUUUAAUUUUAAUGAAAAAGGAUCAGUGGGCUGUCACGUCAGGGAAACACUCCGCGUGACAAGACAAAUUGGUUCAUUAAGUUAUCACUCCAAUCCGAUUGCGGGUGAAAUGAGGUUUAAUAAAAAUAAAAUUAUUUUGCGAAAUUGAACUGGAACGCAGUUGGUACGAAUAAUUCAUUCGAUAUAUAUAUAUACCGAAGUUAAAGUUUAUUUUAAAUAAAAAUGCCAGCCACGUUCAAAGAUUAUGGCCUGAAAAUCCUGGAGCGAUUCGCCCACCUAAUCCAGGGUUAAAACGGUCAGCAGAAGAAAAUAAAAGUGUCAUCCAGGCGGAGGGUCCAAUUUGAGAAAAUCCCGCGGGCGCUGCAGAAAUCAUGUCUUAGAUAAGAUUGGAAAAGUUUCACACUCUUGAGUGGAACUUAUGGCCUCGUAACUGCUUAUUGAACGAUCCGAGAGUCCAUAAACGUCGUCGUCGCUGAUACCGAACCAGUUUAUGAAUGUACAAGUGGGAAUUUUUUCGAAAUCUCUAUGAGACGAGUUUCAAAUGGAAACACUAGUUUAUCGUUAAUAUGUUUCCACAUAUAUUAAAGUUAUGCGAUUAGAAUUGAUGGCGUAUCAAAAGGUAAACCAUUAAUCAAAGUUCGCGGGCCAUAGAAAUCAAUAGUGAUGGGCCCGUAAUAAUUACGAUUGUUUAUUUAAUGAAAUAUGACGCGCACGGCACUUUCCCAUUAAUCUUUUUUAUGAUCCUGUCAAAGGAGGUAGAAUAUUAACUGGCUGACUGAUGACCAGUUCAUUUUUCAUAUUCACCUUGAGCAAUUAUCUUGUUGCCGAUAUUUUGAUCGCGUGAUCCAAUUUUUCAAGGGAGUACGCUGUUCUUGUCGAAGUUGAGGUCGUUAAGACAUUAACGACCUCAGGGUGAAUAUAUUAAAAAGACUUGAAUAUUUCUUAAUUUACAAGCCUGGAAGAUAAUAAAGUAGCAGAACCUCUCCAUUCAAACCCUUCAGCCAAAACCCUUAGUAAAUCUGACAAGUUUACGUGAUUAAUUCCCAAUGGCAAGUUGAUUACUCCGAAAACGAAAGAGUGAUGCAUAGGCGGGCCUCCGCCCGUUAAUCAGCGACAGGGCGGCAAGAAUUCAAUCGCAAAGUGGGCGGCGACGGGCGGUAGUCAAGGGCCCAUUAUUCUCGAUGCAAAAGCAAUUGGCGAAAAGGUCUGUCGCCAUCUACUGAACGGGUGCCUAAUUUGUCUUUCGAGUUUCCGUUUGUCGCCCUUUAUGGGGGCGCACUUUUUUUUAACACUUGAGGCGCUAAUGGGUGCUCCUCGCCUCGCCUCGCUUUUGUUCGAGAGGACUUCCACGUAACGGUGCUUGUCUCAUAAAAAUUAUGCGCCGCCAUCUGGUUGCAUUUAAUUUAAUGGCAGACAUUCUUAAUGUCAACAGGAUUUUUAUUUUACACUUUAAUCAACAAAAAAUGCGUGAGUUCCAUGAUACCUUCGGAUAAGAAGAAAACGCUCCUCAAAAGAAACCCGAGGGCCACCAACUGAACCAAAUUUAAAGAAGACCUAGUCGAGUCCAUGGGUACUCUAGGUGAAAUUAUAUCCUUCAAAAAAGAACUAGAUACAGUGGUAGUGGCCAGUGGGGCUAAACAGUACAAUUAUCUAGCAUUACGAAGCAGCAUGUCCUGGCAAGAGAGUUAGCCGCAACACUAAGUAAAAUCCGAGCACAGAGUUCUUUCUUAGACUUUUUUUGACUAAGAUAUGUCAGAACAAGCGAUACUUUUACUGCCAUAUCGUUCUACUGUAGCUAUUAUUAAAAAAGCUAGAAAAGGAAAUUCAUGGAGACGUAGCAAAGCAGAGCUUCAAAUCACUUUUUGCUUCACUUAUCGAAUGUACACGAAUUACAGGCCAAAUUAACGAGAAAAAGAGAGAAGCUGGAAAGCUAUAGGCUUCGCAACCUUUUGGAAUAAUUAUGGGAAAUUUGGGAAGAACUGCAAUACGUCGUUAACUCUGUUUUGGGGCAUUGGAACUCCUAUUUAAACUUUUUUAUGCGUUGGAUAUCGUAUACCAUUUGUAAUCCCACCAUAAUUUAUGGGAUUGCAGCAGUCAUUGUUGAAGGAUGGAGACAGAUCAAGGAGAUGAUACCAGAUCAUGACAGCUCUAAAGUAAGGCGACCGCUAACAAAGAGUCGAAAGAAGAUCAAAGAUUUGGCAGGAAUUCUAAUUGGGCAUAGGAUAGUGGAAGCGUAGGACUAGGUAAUUCUGGA
This is a long non-coding RNA of Anthonomus grandis grandis, 4790 nucleotides long. RefSeq lists it as uncharacterized. Lineage: Eukaryota; Metazoa; Arthropoda; Insecta; Coleoptera; Curculionidae. The transcript is spliced from 6 exons. The record is from RefSeq and is a predicted model, not a curated record.